UACGUAGGGCGCAAGCGUUGUCCGGAAUUACUGGGCGUAAAGAGUUCGUAGGCGGUUUGUCGCGUCGUUCGUGAAAACUUGGGGCUUAACUCCAAGCGUGCGGGCGAUACGGGCAGACUUGAGUACUACAGGGGAGACUGGAAUUCCUGGUGUAGCGGUGAAAUGCGCAGAUAUCAGGAGGAACACCGGUGGCGAAGGCGGGUCUCUGGGUAGUAACUGACGCUGAGGAACGAAAGCGUGGGUAGCGAACAGG
This 253-nucleotide ribosomal RNA is filed under the name uncultured bacterium. Its description in RNAcentral is "partial 16S ribosomal RNA". It matches the Rfam family "Bacterial small subunit ribosomal RNA", at positions 524 to 776 of the family's 1533-position model. The record is from RNAcentral.